Molecule: ribosomal RNA, 481 nt
Filed under: uncultured bacterium
Lineage: Bacteria
Description: partial 16S ribosomal RNA
Rfam family: Bacterial small subunit ribosomal RNA
Source: RNAcentral
GACGAACGCUGGCGGCGUGCUUAACACAUGCAAGUCGAGCGGAAAGGCCACUUCGGUGGUACUCGAGCGGCGAACGGGUGAGUAACACGUGAGUAAUCUGCCCCUGGCUUUGGCAUAGCCACCGGAAACGGUGAUUAAUACCGGAUACGACCACUUCUCGCAUGGGAUGGUGGUGGAAAGUUUUUUCGGCCAGGGAUGUGCUCGCGGCCUAUCAGCUUGAUGGUGAGGUAAUGGCUCACCAUGGCUUCGACGGGUAGCCGGCCUGAGAGGGUGACCGGUCACACUGGGACUGUGACACGGCCCAGACUCCUACGGGAGGCAGCGGUGGGGAAUAUUGGACAAUGGGCGGAAGCCUGAUCCAGCAACGCCGCGUGAGGGAUGACGGCCUUCGGGUUGUAAACCUCUUUCAGCAGGGACGAAGCGCAAGUGACGGUACCUGCAGAAGAAGCACCGGCCAACUACGUGCCAGCCGCCGCGGUAA